UUCAAUAUAACUUCAAAAAAUUCUAUUUUCUGCAUUUCUCUGUUUUAAUAAAUCAAUGGAACUGAUGAAUAACGGAAAUGAGAACUAAAGUUGACUUUAAGUUAGAAUCGGAACUAAAGUUCAAAUAAGCUGAAAAAAAUGACCGAACCGGAUCAGGUUGGACAAGUUCAGGUCAAUAUUUAGUGGCAAUGUUACUCAAUAAUCAAUAGGCUUUUAUAGUAGGCAAGUAAGAAGCAUCACUCUUGUUUCGUUUAGAUCCAUCUUCAUGUGUUCAACUUACAGUUAUCAAACAACCAACAAUGUUGAUAUCUCAGCAAAUAAUUUUUAUAACUGUUAUGAUGCUAUGCCAUUGUACUUUAAUCGUUUGGUCUGGCUCGCUUACACGAUCUGUAUCAUCAGAAUCAACUUCAUCAAAUGUUAAUAAAACAGAUAAAUUUGUCACUUUGGUUGAUCCAAAGGCCAAUGUAUCUCAACUCAGUGAAGCCCGAUUGUUACAUCCAUUUUUACCAAAACGUGAAACAUCAGUUAUGAAUGUCAUAGGGCAAAUUAUGCCUGGACUUUACAUGUUGAUCAAUAUUCCGAUGUUUUUAUGGUCUUUAUUGACUCCAGUACAAAUCAUCGAAGAGGUUCUUAAGAAUAAUCAACCGAACCUAAAUGCAAUCGACUAUUUUGGCGCACGUUUGGACAUGUAUUUGAAAAACAGAAAUGCAAACAAUUCUUAGUGCUAUCUGUAGAUAAUAACAUGAUCUAAAUGAAAUCUACUCAAUGAGACUAUUUUGCUUCUGAUACCAAUUAAAAUCAAUCAAUUUUCUCAGUGCUAUUGUGCAGUCGAAAUACAAAACUAUUGAAAUGUAAUAAUUUUCAGAUAAUCGAUCAACAGUCAGCAAAAUAAUCAAAUUAACACCGAUUCUGCAGUGAUUCAACUUGUCAUUGUUUCACAUUUUCACAUGUUAAUAAAAUCUAUUUGCUGUCUGAUGAAACUGUUAUUAAACUAACGAAUUAUAUGUCUUUUUGAAUAACUCAAUAAAAAUUGUACUUAUUCAUUAAUCUUCGCAUCUUUCAAUGAUUUUUGUUUAAUUUUUAGCCUGGUGAGUGAACCUUAAAAGUCAAGUUAUAUUUUGUGAAUAACAUGAUCGGAACCGGAUUAGUGUUUUGCUGACCAAAUAAAAUCUAUUUGAAAGAGAGUCCUCUUUGAUGGAAACCUAUUUUACUGUCACUUGUUAUCCGUAUAACUUCAUCAAACUUUUUGAUAAUACAUUCGAAUCGACAAAUCAGUUUAUAUGAAUCAUUUCUUUACUCAACAAAAAUGAAGUUACAUUCACCAAGUUGUUUCAUUUAUUUUUUGUGUAUUUUGUGCCAAAGUAACCUUUUAUUUGUUUCAUCGAUUCCUCUACAAGUUACAUCCACAUUACCAACUUUACUAACAAAUGUGAACUCGUCGACUUCAGAUAAUUAUAACACAACUGAAUGGUCAAGAAAUGAUAAAGUUGAACCACGAUUUUUUCCUUGCAUUUUCUGUUUCGAAUAUGAGCAACUUUCUCUUCCCUGGAAAUUUUUUUACUUUGUUUUUGAGCAAGCUAUCAAAGCCCGUAACACGGUGAUUGAAACUGCAUCCAUACCUUUCAUUUGGUCAACUGAUGCAUUGUUCAAUGGUUUGGAAAAAAUGCCUGAAGUUCGUGAUAACAUAACAAGAAGUAUGGCAAAGACCAAAUGUAAACUCAAUUUAAACUGUCAACUCGAUAGUGC
Non-coding RNA from Tetranychus urticae (two-spotted spider mite), 1746 nucleotides. The record is from RefSeq and is a predicted model, not a curated record. Lineage: Eukaryota; Metazoa; Arthropoda; Arachnida; Trombidiformes; Tetranychidae.